Long non-coding RNA from Acinonyx jubatus (cheetah), 2814 nucleotides. RefSeq lists it as uncharacterized. NCBI's taxonomy places the organism in Eukaryota, Metazoa, Chordata, Mammalia, Carnivora, Felidae. The record is from RefSeq and is a predicted model, not a curated record. The transcript has 3 exons.
GGGGGACACCGGGGAGGGAAAGGCAGAGCCGGAAGACCGGGCGUUGGAAACAAACAGUGAUGGGAAGCUUUUGGAGCAGAGGAAUGACACAUUUGAUUUAGGCUUCAGAAAGGGUUGUCGCUGCCAUCACGUUUGUGGGGCCCAGCAGAGCGCGGUGGGCGCGGACCAGCUGCUGCGGCUGUGAGUAAUUUGUUACUAAGAAUAGUUAGCGCCCCUCUCCCGGCCGCCGUCUCCAAGCGGCCACGCGCAACGGCGAGGCUGGACCCCCGGCCCCGACGCCGGCUUGGACGCGGCCCCCCGGCCCCCCAUUCGAGCGCCCCAUCCAGGCCCCCGCCCCCACCCCCCGCUCACCUGGGCCUCGGCGGCCCGGGGAUGUGCUCGUAGCGGCUGCGAGCGCGGUGCACGAAGGUGCAGAAGAGGCCGAAGGCAACCAGGACGGCGCUGCCGAGCAGCAGCAGCAGCCCGGGGCUCAUGGCUCCCGGGCAGGCCAGGCCUGGGUCGGGGCCGGGCACCGAGGGGGCGGGAGGCCGCGAGCCGACUCAGCUGUCAGCGCCGCGCCGCCUCGGCCCCAGGCCCGGCGCGACCCAGCACCGCCCACUCCCUCUCGGCUCCUCCCCUGCCGGCUCGACCCCUCCCAGGGCUCUCCGUCCCGGCCAACCACGUCUCCGCCACCCGCUCCAGCUCUCGGCGCCCGCCCCUGCCCCGCCCCUAGCUCCGCCCCAACCCCAACACCGCCCCCCCCCCGCGCUCAGGCCCCGCCCAGAGCAUGAGAUCUUCUCCAAUCACAAUGACGCUUCUGGCUCAGUCCCCCCACGCUCCGCCCUCCCCCCCCCUCCUCCCCAGGUCCCGCCCCCAGCUCCUCAAGCUCUAUCCUAGCAGCAGCUCCGCCCAGAACGCGUUGUCCUUGGCAACCCCGUUUCCUCCGCGCUUCCUGCCCCGGCGGCAGAGCAAGGUCCAGCUGGCUGUUUCCGCCCCCUAGGGCGCCUGCAAAUAAACGCGUUCUCUGCGCGCGGUCCUAGGCCCCUUUCCUUCUCCCUGAAACCUCCCUGGGAACCCCAUCCCAGACUCCAAACGUCCGUAUUGCGCCGACUGUUCCCAAAACCUCUCUCUGGAACCCCCAACCCCCACAAGCUGGCUCCGCCUGCCUGGUGGGUCCACGCCUAGCGUUCCUGGUCUCCUCGCGGGGCCACGGGGCAGGUGGCGAGGACCCCGGGGACACGGGGAAGCUGUGUCAGCGACUGAAGAGCGCACAGCUGGACCAGAGUCUGCUCUCCCUGCGUCUUGGCGCCUCCAGGAAAAGCCAAGUCGGAGGCGCUGACCCCAGUCCGAAGGAGCCCGAGUUGGAGUGCGUGAAAGUCUGGGUGCGCAAGGUGGCCCCUCGAGGGAAAGCGAGAAAUGUGCCCGCCGUGGCCAAAGGGUAUUUCUGAAGUAAUAACCUAAACUUCCCUCCCGUUUACGUAACCACCUUGUCUUCACCCGUCUGGGUGUCACAGAUGCAGCCAGUUUUGCGCUUUUAGGUCUCAUUCCUACGCUGGCGGGGGGGGGGGGGCACCCAGAGUGGGAGCAGGGGAUGGGAAGGGCCGGGUGUACACACUCCUGGUCCCGAUAAAGCUCCAAAGGGCUGGGGAGGAGGCACCCAAAGAUGGACGCUGCCGAGUUCCUGAGAACGAGACAUUCCCCUGCCUCAUUCGUGGGCCAGUCCCGGAGAGGUGUGGGGGGCUGGAAACAGAAGGUCCGUGUACCUCCUUGCCAGGUGCAGCCAGGGACAGCCCCCACUACGGACAGAAUUCUUCGGGGUGUGUGGGUUGCAGGGUGACGAAGAGGGACACAGUUUAAGAGCUGGACCCAGAAGAGACAGGAUUUCUGUCCCCAAACCACCGCAGCCUGGGCGCAUCCCUCCUGGCGCAGGGAGCUGGGGAGCCGCACGCGUCUACGGUUAGGGGGUUAGGGCUGGGGCACGUUGGCCUGCCACCGCGCCCCCACGUGGCGGUGAGAAGCAGCCGCUGGCUGGCCCUGCUUGGAGCGGUGGAUGGGGUGGGCAGGUUAUACAGCCCCUCCUGGGCUGUGAAAGCACCAGGGGUUGCAGGCAAUUUGGAGGGAGGGCUCCCAACAAUUGUCUUUUGAGGACAAUGCCAGGUCCUAAACUGCCCUAGGCACAGUCUGGGGUCUCACAUGAGGCAGGCAUAGGGAGAGCCUCAAGGUACAUUUGUGAGCCUGUGCAGCUAGAGCUCAGGAGAGGCAUGGGCGUUAUUACUCUCUGGUGCAUCACUCAACACCAGUAACCUCUGACUUAAUGUGACUAUGGCUCAACUGGCAUUUCCGUCAAUAGAGCACCCCUGUCCCUGACUCGGGCGAGUCAACAGUGUCCCCUCCCCACGUACCAAGUCCACUGCUGUCCCACUGCCAUCUCAUCCGAUUCUCCCAGCUCUCCUGUGAUCAGGCCACCCCAAAGCUCAGGUGGGUCUCAGACAGCACUGGGCAGGCAGCACUACAAGCUGCCAGCAGAGGGCGCUGCCUGGAAGCAUGUGGCCAACCACCUGGCCCUUCGUUGGAAGGUUUAGACUGGGCUUUCCAGUAUGGUAGCCACCGGCCACAUGUGCCAAUCCAGCCCGUGAAACAUGGCUAGGCCACAGGCAUCCGGGUGGCUCAGUCAGUUGAGUAUUUGAUUCUUGAUUUCAGCUCAGGUCAUGAUCUCACGGCUUGUGGGAUCAAGCCCCACGUCCAGCUCUGUGCUGACAGCGUGGAGCCUGCUUGGGAUUCUCUUCUUUCUCUCCACCCUGCCCCCCCCCACACACACACAUACACAUGCUCUCU